This 253-nucleotide ribosomal RNA is filed under the name uncultured bacterium. RNAcentral describes it as "partial 16S ribosomal RNA". It matches the Rfam family "Bacterial small subunit ribosomal RNA", at positions 524 to 776 of the family's 1533-position model. The record is from RNAcentral.
UACGAGAGGCCCAAACGUUAUUCGGAUUUACUGGGCUUAAAGAGUUCGUAGGCGGCGCAGAAAGUAGGGUGUGAAAGCCCUCGGCUCAACCGAGGAAUUGCGCUCUAAACUACUGUGCUUGAGGAAGCUAGAGGUGAGCGGAACUGAUGGUGGAGCGGUGAAAUGCGUUGAUAUCAUCAGGAACACCGGAGGCGAAGGCGGCUCACUGGGGCUUUUCUGACGCUGAGGAACGAAAGCCAGGGGAGCGAACGGG